UACAGGGGGGGCAAGCGUUGUUCGGAAUUACUGGGCGUAAAGCGCACGUAGGCGGAUUUGUAAGUCAGGGGUGAAAUCCCGGGGCUCAACCUCGGAACUGCCUUCGAUACUGCAAAUCUCGAGUCCGGAAGAGGUGAGUGGAAUUCCUAGUGUAGAGGUGAAAUUCGUAGAUAUUCGGAAGAACACCAGUGGCGAAGGCGGCUCGCUGGACAAGUAUUGACGCUGAGGUGCGAAAGCGUGGGGAGCAAACAGG
This 253-nucleotide ribosomal RNA is filed under the name uncultured bacterium. RNAcentral describes it as "partial 16S ribosomal RNA". It matches the Rfam family "Bacterial small subunit ribosomal RNA", at positions 524 to 776 of the family's 1533-position model. The record is from RNAcentral.